Non-coding RNA from Paramuricea clavata, 614 nucleotides. The record is from the annotation of a GenBank genome assembly. Lineage: Eukaryota; Metazoa; Cnidaria; Anthozoa; Malacalcyonacea; Plexauridae.
ACAGGAUAUCUAUAUUGGGAUGAUGAAGAUAGUCGAAACGCGAACAAGCGAAGCGGAACUCUUCCAGAUGGUGUGUAUAAUCACAACACCAAGAUACAUUUUUGCUGCCGAAAUGAUCCACCACACACUGGCCUCAUCAGGUCUCGUACGAAAAUCAACCGUCUCAAUGGUCUUCCCAAAUGUUCAGAAAUUAUGGUGAUGCGAUACAAAGGAACAUGCCCUUCACGCGGACGAGGUUACCAAGGACCUCAUACUGGAUAUCUGCAAUGGGAUACUGAAGACAGCAACAACCGAGACGCUUGUAUUGGAGCAUUUCCUGACGGUCAAAAAACCUUCGGAACUGGAAUUAAAAUCGAGUUUUGUUCUUACACUACACCUGGUUUGGGUGAAAGAGAGCCUGCAAGCCAGAUCCCUAUGACUACAUUCCCCCUUCGAUUUGGACGUCACAGGUCAAUUAAUAACAUAUCAGCGCAGACCGGAAAUACACUUCAAUGUUGUAAACAUAAACCGAUAAACGUUGAACUCCUUUUAUAUUGUAUUCUGUCAUUUAUAGUUUCGUAUACAGACCGCCACUGGGGCAUACUAAAAAAUUUAAAACGGCUCGAGGUUUUUUU